UUCGUGAAAUAUCUCCUUGUUAAUUCUGCUCCUAGAGUGUUUUCAAAACUCCUCUUUCAUCUUUAAUACAUUUGCAAUUUAUUUGGGUUGAAGGAGAGAAGUCAUGCUGCCUAUUCAUUUCCUUUCUUCCCAAAUGGUUAGCAUAUUCCUGAACCAUUAUUAGCCACGAUUCAUCUUCCAGCCACUACCGUAGAACAAUUUGAAUCUAUUGGUUCCCGAUGGCUCCUGUAACAAAUUAUCGCAGAUUCAAGCAACGCAAAUGUGUUCUCUUCCAGUUCUGGAAGCCAGAAGUCUAAACGGGGUCGUCAGGCCUGCGUUCCUUCCGGAGGCUCCAGACGAGAAUGCAUUUCCUUGCAUUUCUGGCUGCUGGUAUCUGCCCACACGCCUUGGCUCACAGCCUCGCCUCAUUCUCACCUCGGCCUUGGGGUGACACCUCCUGCUCUGGUUCCGAUUCACCGCCUUCUACACUCCCUCCUAAGAACCCUUGUCAUCACAGUGCAGUUCCCUGGGGGCAUGGCGGUUAAAGAUCGGAAGUUAUCAGUGGCUGUGGCUUGGGUCCUGGCCUGGGAACUUCCACGUGCGGCCCCGAAAAGAAAACCCUUGGCAUUACGGUGGAUCCUCCUAAUUAACACGCGGCAGACAGACUCUCAGGAAGACAUCCUGUAUGUGGCCCAUUCUCCGCAGUCGGGACAUCUUGAGCCGUGCGUUGCUCUCUGCUGUACCUUCCAGCCCUGGGGCCUCUGACAUUUACUUUCCUAGUGUGUCCAACGCUCCGAUUUCUUUGAGGAGGGCCCAGCUGUGAUCCAAAGUGCGCUGCAGAAGAAACUACACUGAAUUCUCUAUGAAGGAGGCAUUUUUCUUCCCCCCGCUUUACAAGAUGGAGAAACCGUGGAUCAGAGGAGUUCAGCAAAUCACCGAGACCACACAGCUGGUGGGACCCCAGGAUUGGUAUGUUUUAAAGGUGCCCCCAAUGAUGAUGACGCCAAUGAUGCUGGUAGGAGCAGUCAAGCUACCAUGACAGAUUCUUUUCCCAUAUGAGUCAUCACAGAGUAUGGAGUAGAUUUCCCUGCGCAUAAUUUGAAAAGGCCCUCUGUGGACACAUCGUGGAGAGUUGUAACAAGGUUUUAUGAAGGGAUAGAGAAAGAAGGCCUGCUUGUCUUCGUCAGCUCUUCAGUAAGUAAUAUUAUGCCAGCCAUAGUCGCCAGAUGGAAGAAAAUUAUCCCCAGCCCUCUGGGUUCAUCUACCAUAACUGAGAAAAUGCACGUGAGAGCACGUGCCUGGGGCUGGCACAGGGUCCACACUCUGGGUUUACUCAGCCACUUCUUCACUCGGUUGGGGAUGGGAGUGAAAGCCAUCUCACCUCCUUACACAGAGCCACAGAUGGAGUCCCUUCUGGUGGCUACACCUGUGCCCCGUCCCCCCACCCCCGCCCCAUUCUGACCCAUGUCCGUCUCCAUACCACGGCAGGCUCUGCUUGCUCCUCAUACCCACUGGGUGGACGUUGAGGCACAGCACUCUCUCAUCCAUCAUCCCCGAAUCAAACAUUCACCUUUCGCUUCCUGAGAGACUCAGAGAAAGGGGCUUUUUAAGAAAUGUGCCUGCCCCACUGUCAGCAUAAACCUUGACCUGGGUCUCAGACUCUUCUGGCCGAACGGCGGGCAGGGCCUGAGAUCUGACUCUUUUGGUCUUCCCA
Long non-coding RNA from Phacochoerus africanus (Common warthog), 1693 nucleotides. RefSeq lists it as uncharacterized. Lineage: Eukaryota; Metazoa; Chordata; Mammalia; Artiodactyla; Suidae. The record is from RefSeq and is a predicted model, not a curated record. The transcript has 6 exons.